CCAGACUCCUACGGGAGGCAGCAGUGGGGAAUAUUGGACAAUGGGGGGGACCCUGAUCCAGCGACGCCGCGUGAGUGAAGAAGUAUUUCGGUAUGUAAAGCUCUAUCAGCAGGGAAGAAGAAAUGACGGUACCUGACUAAGAAGCCCCGGCUAACUACGUGCCAGCAGCCGCGGUAAUACGUAGGGGGCAAGCGUUAUCCGGAUUUACUGGGUGUAAAGGGAGCGUAGACGGUGCAGCAAGUCUGGAGUGAAAGGCAGGGGCCCAACCCCUGGACUGCUCUGGAAACUGUUGUACUUGGGUGCAGGAGAGGUAAGUGGAAUUCCUAGUGUAGCGGUGAAAUGCGUAGAUAUCAGGAGGAACACCAGUGGCGAAGGCGGCUUGCUGGACGAUGACUGACGUUGAGGCUCGAAAGCGUGGGGAGCAAACAGGAUUAGAUACCCUUGUAUA
Molecule: ribosomal RNA, 448 nt
Filed under: uncultured bacterium
Lineage: Bacteria
Description: bacterial SSU rRNA
Rfam family: Bacterial small subunit ribosomal RNA
Source: RNAcentral